UUUCCUGUGGCUCAGUUGGUAGAGCAUUCCGCUAACAACGCAAAGGUUGUGGGUUCAGAACUGACAGAAAAU
Non-coding RNA from Danionella cerebrum, 72 nucleotides. Lineage: Eukaryota; Metazoa; Chordata; Actinopteri; Cypriniformes; Danionidae. The record is from the annotation of a GenBank genome assembly.